CCUACGGGGGGCUGCAGUGGGGAAUAUUGGACAAUGGGCGAAAGCCUGAUCCAGCCAUGCCGCGUGUGUGAAGAAGGCCUUCGGGUUGUAAAGCACUUUCAGUGGGGAAGAAAGCCUUGGGGCUAAUACCCUCGAGGAAGGACAUCACCCACAGAAGAAGCACCGGCUAACUCCGUGCCAGCAGCCGCGGUAAUACGGAGGGUGCGAGCGUUAAUCGGAAUUACUGGGCGUAAAGCGCGCGUAGGCGGUCUGAUAAGCCGGCUGUGAAAGCCCCGGGCUCAACCUGGGAACGGCAUCCGGAACUGUCAGGCUAGAGUGCAGGAGAGGAAGGUAGAAUUCCCGGUGUAGCGGUGAAAUGCGUAGAGAUCGGGAGGAAUACCAGUGGCGAAGGCGGCCUUCUGGACUGACACUGACGCUGAGGUGCGAAAGCGUGGGUAGCAAACAGGAUUAGAUACCCCAGUAGUC
Molecule: ribosomal RNA, 465 nt
Filed under: Vreelandella stevensii
Lineage: Bacteria; Pseudomonadati; Pseudomonadota; Gammaproteobacteria; Oceanospirillales; Halomonadaceae
Description: partial 16S ribosomal RNA
Rfam family: Bacterial small subunit ribosomal RNA
Source: RNAcentral